RNAcentral lists this long non-coding RNA (313 nucleotides) under Lonchura striata (white-rumped munia). Its description in RNAcentral is "domestica (Bengalese finch) lncRNA (ENSLSDG00000003926.1)". Lineage: Eukaryota; Metazoa; Chordata; Aves; Passeriformes; Estrildidae. The record is from RNAcentral.
CCAUGGAUCCUGCCCCAUAGAUCCUGACCUAUGGAUCCUGACCCACAGAUCCUGCCCCAUAGAUCCUGACCUAUGGAUCCUGACCCACAGAGCCUGCCCCAUAGAUCCUGCCCCAUAGAUCCUGCCCCAUAGAUCCUGACCCAUAGAUCCUGCCCCAUAGAUCCUGACCUAUGGAUCCUGACCCACAGAGCCUGACCCAUAGAUCCUGACCCAUGGAUCCUGCCCCAUAGAUCCCAUCCUGCCCCAUAGAUCCUGCCUGGGCACCUACAAGUACCUGGAGGUGCAGUACGACUGUGUGCCCUACAGUGAGUGC